RNAcentral lists this long non-coding RNA (349 nucleotides) under Phoenix dactylifera (date palm). Its description in RNAcentral is "long non-coding RNA (PDAC_LNC009177)". The record is from RNAcentral. Lineage: Eukaryota; Viridiplantae; Streptophyta; Magnoliopsida; Arecales; Arecaceae.
CAUUUAUGUAUAUUAGGGACUCCCUUGCACGAGUACAAGGUCUCCCUUAGCCUAAUCUAGGCUUAAUACCCUAUUUUGGCAUAAAAUUUCUUAUUUUCCCACCUGGAUGAACAGUAACCCGGACCGAUAGCCGGUUACUUCAUCCCGGGUUUGAUCCACUUUCCAAACUCCAGAUUUGAUGAAAUUUUUACCUAACAUUCUACACUCAUAGGAGAUUCUAAAGAGGUAACAUGCAUUGCUAUCGGAGGUCGUUUGACCCCCUAAAUAAUUCGCCGAAGUUGGGACUUCGACACAAUUUUUCCGUAGUGCCGGAAAAAUUUGUCAAAAUCCGAUUCUUCCUCUUUUAACC